Molecule: ribosomal RNA, 370 nt
Filed under: uncultured bacterium
Lineage: Bacteria
Description: bacterial SSU rRNA
Rfam family: Bacterial small subunit ribosomal RNA
Source: RNAcentral
GGAGGGUGCAAGCGUUGCUCGGAAUCACUGGGCGUAAAGCGACCGCAGGCGGUCUGACAAGUCGGAUGUGAAAGCCCUGGGCUCAACUCAGGAACUGCAUUCGAAACUGGCAGACUCGAGUACGGGAGAGGGGGGUGGAAUUCCUGGUGUGGGGUGAAAUUCGUUGAUAUCAGGAGGAACACCGGCGGCGAAGGCGGCCCCCUGGCCCGCAACUGACGCUCAUGGUCGAAAGCGUGGGGAGCAAACAGGAUUAGAUACCCUGGUAGUCCACGCCGUAAACGAUGAUUGCUAGGUGUUGGUGGUAUUCACCCCAUCAGUGCCGAAGUUAACGCAUUAAGCAAUCCGCCUGGGAAGUACGGCCGCAAGGCUA